AAGCAUGAUGAAGCUUAGGAAUAGUCAAGUGGUGAGUGAAAACGGCGCCGUUUCAUUAAAAUAAAAUAAAUUAUAAAAAAAAAUGAAAAAGCUCACAACUCAUCGUAUGAAGCAAGAAGACCGAGUGAGGAAAAAUUGCCAAUUUUCUUUCACCGGAUAUUGAUGAUGGUUUUUUUGAAGGUUGAAAGAAGGAAAUGGAAAAGCAGAGAACUGAUUUGUGGCUUUGGUGUUUUCUUUCAGCUCACACGACAGAUUGCAAACUAGACCAAACUAAUGAGCCGUACUGGAUUGGGGAAUGCUGGUGAAUUUGUUAUGUGGGCUGGUAGGCUGAUCAAACAUUAAUUUUCAAGAUUUUUGGUGAUUUAGUAACAUGUGUCUUGGUGAUUAAAAUCAUAUCAAACAAACUUUGGGAAUUGGAGGAGUUCUUGCUUUCUUGUGCAGUUGGUGAUAGACUCUCAAUGUAAUAUGUUGCUUCCGAUCUAGAAUUUUAGGAGGAAAAGAUUGAUGCUUCCCUUGAGGUUCUUAUCUUAUCCUUGCUAAUGAUGAAUUGGGGGAUGCUCUCACAUAUGAGGAAGUCGCUUUGGUUAAACCAAUCUAGGAGCUGGAAUAGGUAGCAAAGAGGUUGAUGUAUGAAGCAUACCAAAGACGUUGUGCAAUGUCAAGGAGAUUCCUCUCACAUUAGAUGUGGAAGCACCCUUCCUUCGCUUGAUGCUAAGGUUUGGUUUUCUACAAGAGUGGAAGAUGAAGUGCAAUAAAAUCAAGUGGUUCACAAUGAUAGAAAAUCAUAGUGUUGUGCUAUUGAAGGUUAUGUAAACAAACUCAUUAGAAUGUGAAUAUGUACUACAUACUAUCACCUUCUAACAUAGAGCUAUAUCUGAAAGCUUAGUUUUUACAGUGGUUGAAUUUAGCUAGAAAACAUGCCUUGUUUGAUUUUUUAAAGAAACAUUGGCUAAAGUCAACUAUGAUUACAAGGUAUGCAUAGUGCUUGGUAGUGGAUGUGUAACCAUAUUUGGUAGUGAUACUUUGUCAAGGUGUUUUAAAUUUCAUCAAUGAUCAGCUAGAAUCCUGUUUUCUUCUUCUA
Molecule: long non-coding RNA, 1081 nt
Organism: Quercus lobata
Lineage: Eukaryota; Viridiplantae; Streptophyta; Magnoliopsida; Fagales; Fagaceae
Exons: 4
Source: RefSeq, a predicted model, not a curated record